This 277-nucleotide ribosomal RNA is filed under the name uncultured prokaryote. Its description in RNAcentral is "partial 16S ribosomal RNA". It matches the Rfam family "Bacterial small subunit ribosomal RNA", at positions 524 to 800 of the family's 1533-position model. The record is from RNAcentral.
UACGGAGGAUCCGAGCGUUAUCCGGAUUUAUUGGGUUUAAAGGGUGCGCAGGCGGGGGAUUAAGUCGGCGGUGAAAUUUUGCAGCUCAACUGUAAAAGUGCCUUCGAAACUGGUUUCCUUGAGUGUAGAUGAAGUAGGCGGAAUUUGUGGUGUAGCGGUGAAAUGCAUAGAUAUCACGAGGAACUCCGAUUGCGCAGGCAGCUUACUAAACUACUACUGACGCUCAGGCACGAAGGCGUGGGGAUCAAACAGGAUUAGAUACCCGUGUAGUCCCUGA